RNAcentral lists this ribosomal RNA (253 nucleotides) under uncultured bacterium. RNAcentral's name for it is "partial 16S ribosomal RNA". It matches the Rfam family "Bacterial small subunit ribosomal RNA", at positions 524 to 776 of the family's 1533-position model. The record is from RNAcentral.
GACGAACCGAGCGAACGUUGUUCGGAAUCACUGGGCUUAAAGGGCGCGUAGGCGGACUGCCGCGUCCGGGGUGAAAUCCCACGGCUCAACCGUGGAACGGCCCCGGAUACGGGCGGUCUCGAGGGAGGUAGGGGCAUGCGGAACUACGGGUGGAGCGGUGAAAUGCGUUGAUAUCCGUGGGAACUCCGGUGGCGAAGGCGGCGUGCUGGACCUCACCUGACGCUGAGGCGCGAAAGCGUGGGGAGCGAUCCGG